UGGGAACGUACCCUUUGGUUCGGAACAACCCAGGGAAACUUGGGCUAAUACCGGAUAAGUCCGUAAGGAGAAAGAUUUAUCGCCAAAAGAUCGGCCCGCGUCUGAUUAGCUAGUUGGUGGGGUAAUGGCCCACCAAGGCGACGAUCAGUAGUUGGUCUGAGAGGAUGAUCAGCCACAUUGGGACUGAGAUACGGCCCAGACUCCUACGGGAGGCAG
This 216-nucleotide ribosomal RNA is filed under the name uncultured bacterium. RNAcentral describes it as "partial 16S ribosomal RNA". It matches the Rfam family "Bacterial small subunit ribosomal RNA", at positions 118 to 351 of the family's 1533-position model. The record is from RNAcentral.